GCAGUCGAGCGGACAGAUGGGAGCUUGCUCCCUGAUGUUAGCGGCGGACGGGUGAGUAACACGUGGGUAACCUGCCUGUAAGACUGGGAUAACUCCGGGAAACCGGGGCUAAUACCGGAUGGUUGUUUGAACCGCAUGGUUCAAACAUAAAAGGUGGCUUCGGCUACCACUUACAGAUGGACCCGCGGCGCAUUAGCUAGUUGGUGAGGUAACGGCUCACCAAGGCAACGAUGCGUAGCCGACCUGAGAGGGUGAUCGGCCACACUGGGACUGAGACACGGCCCAGACUCCUACGGGAGGCAGCAGUAGGGAAUCUUCCGCAAUGGACGAAAGUCUGACGGAGCAACGCCGCGUGAGUGAUGAAGGUUUUCGGAUCGUAAAGCUCUGUUGUUAGGGAAGAACAAGUACCGUUCGAAUAGGGCGGUACCUUGACGGUACCUAACCAGAAAGCCACGGCUAACUACGUGCCAGCAGCCGCGGUAAUACGUAGGUGGCAAGCGUUGUCCGGAAUUAUUGGGCGUAAAGGGCUCGCAGGCGGUUUCUUAAGUCUGAUGUGAAAGCCCCCGGCUCAACCGGGGAGGGUCAUUGGAAACUGGGGAACUUGAGUGCAGAAGAGGAGAGUGGAAUUCCACGUGUAGCGGUGAAAUGCGUAGAGAUGUGGAGGAACACCAGUGGCGAAGGCGACUCUCUGGUCUGUAACUGACGCUGAGGAGCGAAAGCGUGGGGAGCGAACAGGAUUAGAUACCCUGGUAGUCCACGCCGUAAACGAUGAGUGCUAAGUGUUAGGGGGUUUCCGCCCCUUAGUGCUGCAGCUAACGCAUUAAGCACUCCGCCUGGCGAGUACGGUCGCAAGACUGAAACUCAAAGGAAUUGACGGCGGCCCGCACAACCGGUGGAGCAUGUGGUUUAAUUCGAAGCAACGCGAAGAACCUUACCAGGUCUUGACAUCCUCUGACAAUCCUAGAGAUAGGACGUCCCCUUCGGGGGCAGAGUGACAGGUGGUGCAUGGUUGUCGUCAGCUCGUGUCGUGAGAUGUUGGGUUAAGUCCCGCAACGAGCGCAACCCUUGAUCUUAGUUGCCAGCAUUCAGUUGGGCACUCUAAGGUGACUGCCGGUGACAAACCGGAGGAAGGUGGGGAUGACGUCAAAUCAUCAUGCCCCUUAUGACCUGGGCUACACACGUGCUACAAUGGACAGAACAAAGGGCAGCGAAACCGCGAGGUUAAGCCAAUCCCACAAAUCUGUUCUCAGUUCGGAUCGCAGUCUGCAACUCGACUGCGUGAAGCUGGAAUCGCUAGUAAUCGCGGAUCAGCAUGCCGCGGUGAAUACGUUCCCGGGCCUUGUACACACCGCCCGUCACACCACGAGAGUUUGUAACACCCGAAGUCGGUGAGGUAACCUUUUAGG
This 1406-nucleotide ribosomal RNA is filed under the name Bacillus subtilis. Its description in RNAcentral is "bacterial SSU rRNA". It matches the Rfam family "Bacterial small subunit ribosomal RNA". Lineage: Bacteria; Bacillati; Bacillota; Bacilli; Caryophanales; Bacillaceae. The record is from RNAcentral.